AUUGAACGCUGGCGGCAGGCUUAACACAUGCAAGUCGAGCGGAGAUGAGGUGCUUGCACCUUAUCUUAGCGGCGGACGGGUGAGUAAUGCUUAGGAAUCUGCCUAUUAGUGGGGGACAACAUUCCGAAAGGAAUGCUAAUACCGCAUACGUCCUACGGGAGAAAGCAGGGGAUCUUCGGACCUUGCGCUAAUAGAUGAGCCUAAGUCGGAGUAGCUAGUUGGUGGGGUAAAGGCCUACCAAGGCGACGAUCUGUAGCGGGUCUGAGAGGAUGAUCCGCCACACUGGGACUGAGACACGGCCCAGACUCCUACGGGAGGCAGCAGUGGGGAAUAUUGGACAAUAGGGGAAACCCUGAUCCAGCCAUGCCGCGUGUGUGAAGAAGGCCUUAUGGUUGUAAAGCACUUUAAGCGAGGAGGAGGCUACUGAGACUAAUACUCUUGGAUAGUGGACGUUACUCGCAGAAUAAGCACCGGCUAACUCUGUGCCAGCCGCCGCAGUAA
RNAcentral lists this ribosomal RNA (501 nucleotides) under uncultured bacterium. Its description in RNAcentral is "partial 16S ribosomal RNA". It matches the Rfam family "Bacterial small subunit ribosomal RNA", at positions 30 to 523 of the family's 1533-position model. The record is from RNAcentral.